RNAcentral lists this transfer RNA (57 nucleotides) under Uropeltis liura. Its description in RNAcentral is "tRNA-Ser". Lineage: Eukaryota; Metazoa; Chordata; Lepidosauria; Squamata; Uropeltidae. The record is from RNAcentral.
GAGAAGGUAGUAAGACCUGCUAACUCUUCAACCUGGUAAUAACCCCCAGCCUUCUCU